GGGGGCGAUACGGUUUCGACGGGGAUAAUUGAAUUUCAGGUUGCAUAUCGAGGUUCCAGCUGCUCGUAAAACAGGUGGGCUCAAAGUAAACGCAGACGAUUACGCGUAUGCUCUAGCCGCAUAAAAUGGCUAGCAUCUUGCCGGUCUUUUCCUGCGUGACCGAACAAGAUGUCGACUAGCAGGAUAGUGUUAUCUUUUUCACCUGCAAGGAGAUAAUGCGAAACAAUAUUGCGGGUUAGCCCUGAGGCAGCCCUGCCCAAUUGCGACCCACAGGGUGAAAUUUAUAAUUGGGCUAAGUAUGUAGACGCCUGAAUGGAAGAUUUCCGGACGCGGGUUCGACUCCCGCCGCCUCCACCA
This 357-nucleotide transfer-messenger RNA is filed under the name Deltaproteobacteria bacterium. It matches the Rfam family "transfer-messenger RNA". Rfam says of the family: Bacterial tmRNA, also known as 10Sa RNA or SsrA, is named for its dual tRNA and mRNA-like properties. Its role is to liberate the mRNA from a stalled ribosome. To accomplish this part of the tmRNA is used as a reading frame that ends in a translation stop signal. The record is from RNAcentral. RNAcentral also lists the same sequence under 1 other name. Lineage: Bacteria; Pseudomonadati; Myxococcota; Myxococcia.